AAACGAACUAUAUAUAUUCAACAUUUCAUAAUUUAUAUUGUAAAAUUAACAACAAACUCUCUUACAAGUUGCAACAACACAAUAUUACACAUGCUAUACUUGCUACCAACACAAGAAGGACACACCUUAGAAAAUUACAACAUUUGAAAUAUAAACAAUAAUAAACUCUUCUUUACAAGACAACUUUUCAUAAUUUAUAUUGUAAAAUU
Molecule: unclassified non-coding RNA, 209 nt
Filed under: Hevea brasiliensis (rubber tree)
Lineage: Eukaryota; Viridiplantae; Streptophyta; Magnoliopsida; Malpighiales; Euphorbiaceae
Source: RNAcentral